RNAcentral lists this ribosomal RNA (404 nucleotides) under uncultured bacterium. RNAcentral's name for it is "bacterial SSU rRNA". It matches the Rfam family "Bacterial small subunit ribosomal RNA", at positions 30 to 426 of the family's 1533-position model. The record is from RNAcentral.
UUGAACGCUGGCGGCAUGCCUAACACAUGCAAGUCGAACGGCAGCACAGUGUGUAGCAAUACACAUGGGUGGCGAGUGGCGGACGGGUGAGGAAUACAUAGGAAUCUGCCUUGUAGCGGGGGAUAGUCCGGGGAAACUCGGGGUAAUACCGCAUACGACCUACGGGUGAAAGAGGGGGAUCGCAAGACCUCUCACUAUAAGAUGAGCCUAUGUCCGAUUAGCUAGUUGGUGGGGUAAAGGCCUACCAAGGCGACGAUCGGUAGCUGGUCUGAGAGGACGACCAGCCACAUCGGAACUGAGACACGGUCCGAACUCCUACGGGAGGCAGCAGUGGGGAAUAUUGGACAAUGGGCGAAAGCCUGAUCCAGCAAUGCCGCGUGUGUGAAGAAGGGCCUUCGGGUUGU